UUGAUUUCAGAAAAAGCUGAGGUUGCUUCAGCAACUUCAGAACAAGUGUGUUUGCUUAAAGCUGCUCCAAUGUGUCAUGCACGUGCAGCCUUGAAUUAAACAAAUCUGAAGAACUUAGUGCUGUAAAACUGCAGGAGGCUGCUUAGGAUAACAAGUAAAUCCAGAUUUAAAUGUUUAAACUUUUAAGUAUCUGAACUCUAGUGCAUAAAUGCGAAGCCCUGGAGAUAUUUUAGCCAGUUUGUGUGUAAGGUAAGGUGAUGUAGUUAAACCACAGCGUUUUCUUUGCAUUUUCAGUGCUGUAUUUUACUUCUGUCAAAAUCAAUUUCUGAGUCCUAUAACGUGUUUGUUUAAUUGCCUCAGCCUGUGCAAGGUCAUAAAAAGGUGUUCUCGCUAAAAAGGUGAACUGUAGGGAAGGCAAGAGAUGCUUUAGUUUGAGUAAUAUUGGAAAAAAAAAUGUUUAAUAAGGAGACGUCUGCAGCAUUUAGUAAAAGAUACAGCGUUAACCUUCAGAUAGCAGAAAUCUGUCAAGCUUGCUUAGAAAAUGCUGAGCGCUUACUUGCUGCAGUUUACUCUAGAUGCAUCUUUGUGUUUCAUACGUAGGUGGUUCUUGCCAGAGACAACUGGCGUUGAUAGCACUAAGUCAUUCUCUUCAUUGAGAUCACAGUGUUUGGGUGAAUCCUCAGUUCAUCUUGUGGCUUAUUAUGUGUGCAGUGGAGUUAAAUCCACAGUUAGACCAGGUUGCUCUGACUGGUCUGGGCUCUGAGCACCUGACAGAGCUGAGGGUGUCCCUGUUCUCUGCGGAGAGUUGGACCAGAUGGCCAUUAAGGGUCCCUACCAGCUCAAACAAUUCUAUGGUUCUGCGAUUCUAAAUGAGAAUGAGCUGAUCUGUCUGGGGCUGAGAGCAGCAGUGUGGUCUCAAGUGUAAUUCCACUGCAGAAACAGACAUUGCUGUCCAGCUUCGUGUUUGCCCUUAAAUUCCCACAUUUCUUAGUGUGUGAGUAAGAGAGCAGUGGAGGCAUAAGCUUUUAGCUAGGGGAGCUUUCCAGCAGCAGGCUCCCUGCUAUUGUAAGGCUUGAAACAGAGUGCGGAUUUGUCACCUCCCAGGGCAGUCAGAUAAAUGCAAGGACUGAAAAAGCCCCAAUCCGUUCUGGUCUAAUGAAAUGAUGCUUUGUCUGGAAGAAGGAGUAAAAUCACUUCCUAUUUAUCCACCUGCCUGCUGAGACUGAAAUUAACCUAAAGAGGUGCUUAAUGGCACCCAGUAAGCCAUUAGAUUAAUUAAACAUCCUUAUAACAUGUACUUUCUGGGAAAGCAUUUUUUCCUGUCUGCCAUGAACACUUAUGACACUGCACAAAUGGUAUAUAGUAAUAACUAUUGUGUCACUACUGGCGUGCUGCUGCUGCUUUUUUUUUUGGUAAGUGUUCUCUGCUAUAUAUACGUAAAUAUAUAAAAAUAAUAUUGGUGAGAUGAUAUGCAUAGUUGCAUUUUCAGGCUUUUCAAAGCAUGAAUCCCCUCGGUGCUUCCUUUUAACCACUUCAGUAAUGCUGCUGGCUGUAGAUGUGUCUCUGAUAGAAGCCCGUGUGGUUUAUCCGUGGCCACAUCCCUCUUAAUAACUUUUAUCCUUUUUCUUUUUUAUUUGCUUCCUACAAAUAAUCAGUCAUGUUUUUUUUUUAAUACAAAAAGACCACCACCAACAAAACCAUAAAAACUGUGUAAUUUGCAAUUAAUUUCUUUUUGUACUUUAUUCUCAAAUCUAGAGUGAUUUCGUAUGAAAGUGAUUUGGGUAAAGACUGUAGGACUAGAUCCCAUGCUUCCGUUCUCUCGUCCAUGCAGACAGUAGUAUAUUUCUUCCAAGGAGCAUGAUAGACUCGUUCUGUCGGUCUGAGUUUGGAAAGGAUGUCCAGCUUAGCUUAAGAAAAGCAGAAUCACAGAGAAGGACCUGUGCUUUCCAUCCAGUCGGGCACACUCAUCUUCAUGAAAGGAUAAUUCUGGGUCAGUAUUAGAUUACAAAAAGGAAACUUCAGCCAAAACAAGUAUGCUCAGAUACUUGCUGGUGCCAACAUAAGCAACCCAUUUCAGAAGCAGUGCCAGGCAUUCCUGGAGAUAACACAGCCAUCCCUACAGAUGCAUGGAAUUCAGUCCCUGGAGCAUAGCUGAAGCCUUCUGGAUAAAGGAAAUAGCAAGUCUGGUCUAGGAAACAAAACAGAAUACCCACUACUGAUAAGAAGGUACUGAAAGCAAAGCACAGGAUCCCAUGCAGGUGGCGUGCUGAAAUAGUUACCAGAUUUUCAUCAGAUGAUUUUGGAUCAUUUUGAAUUAGCAUACAGGAAUAUGUACUUGGGAUGGAAUAACCAGCUGAAGCUUUGUAUUAGGUAACGACUUAGCUGCAAUUACUGAACUAGUCCUGCCUACCCAAAACUCCUUCCUUUUGCUGGAUCCCCAGAAGUGGAGCAUGGGGAACUCAGUGACAAAUCCUCCAUUUUUAUGUGGAAGUUAAAAGAAAAAGAAAAAGCCAUUAACUUUUUGGAAAUGAUAAAUUGUUGAAUUCAAACUAAUUGGCUGUUAUACUGUAGCAGGUUUACAGAUUCCCACUGUGAUACAAAAGCUGAAAGUAUUUUUCCUUCAGCUGGUUAAUGUAUUCAGAGUUUUUUUAACUAGGGCUGGAAGUGAUGAAAACAUGUCAUUUUUCUGACAUGUAUUCUCAACCAAGAGCUCUUUACUUGUCUUUUGCAAGUACAAUAGACUGUCUAUAAUAAUAUCUCAGCUCUAGCAGUGGUAUUUUUGAAGCAGAUUCUCAUGUUAGUCAUCAACUCCUGCUCAUAUUAGUAAGCCUCAGAUAUACCAAUAUCUCAUUGAAGGUGCUGAGAUUUUUCAUGGCAUAGGCACUCUGACAUGAAUUGGAGCUGCAUAUUACAGUCCUUUGUGUUGAGAUCUAUGCUCAAGGCAGAAUGAAAAUACUCCCAAAGAACGUAGCAAAAGGAAAUUGCCACGUUCUGUGGGUAGCAUUUAUGGUGCAUUUGGGAAUGGCUGCCAUAUGAACUCCAGCUUCUCUGGGCUUUGACACAGCCAAAGACAUUUGUUCUGGGAUAUGAAAGUGUUUUUGUCAUUUAUCUUUUUAUCUUUAACAGGAACUAGAUUCUAGCUUUUGUUUUUGUGUUUGUUUUGUUUUAAAUGAAAACCAACCAACCAAGGAACUCAGAACUUACUGUUCUGUGAAUGAUUUCAAAAACAUAUUAUGAUUGCAUAGCUGUUCAUGGGGUAAACUGGAGCACUUAGACAUCUUAGAGAUGAUGACAUAUUUAGAGCACUAUUUGGCAUUGUGGAUGGGUAAAAUACAAAGAGCUAUUGAUAUGGCAAUUAUACUAACAUACAAGUUGUUCAAUGUGUAGAAUCAAAGCACUGUUGUAGUGCUUGGUAUCCUUGCCCUUAAGUUUUGCAGCCCACACUGUUGUGCUCAAGUAGGCUGUCCCCAUCCCUCGUAGAUGCUGCUGAGCUGCAGCCAGCUCGGGACCUUGUUCUGCCAACACCACUGAGCAGUGUUCAAUGCUGGGUUCCUGUGGCUCUGACAGCACAGCCCUCCAUCCGAAUCCACAGCACAACAUCUGUAUGUCCUCUGACAGUGCCACAGGCAGAUGAAUUCUGACAUUUUGUUUGUGAAAUGCUUUGAAUUGCCUCAGAGAGACGAGAUCCUGCUGCGGCAGACACAAGUAUUUUAGAGAUCUUUUCCUGGCCUGUGUAGCUGCAGGACAGUUGUCGUGGUUACGGCUGUAGAUGCUGAGCCUGUGUGUUUGCAGCAAUUUGCCAUACUUGCUGCAAAUAGUGCUGCAUGUGAUAUAUGUGGAAGGGAAGUAGUUUGGUGUCUGUACAGUAAACUGAUAUUUUCAGGUACUGUCAGUUGAUCUUUUUCCCUCUGAGCGUGGAUUUACAUACCUACAGAUACAGCAGUGACAAAUUAUUUUCUAGAAAUGUUCAUCUUCCAGAUGAGACCACUGUGGAAAUUAUUCAAGGCGUUUAAAACAGGGUUUUUUUUUCUUUUUUGAAAGAAAGCUGACAUAAUGGAGAGGGUUCACUGCUGGGCUGCAAACAUUACUCAAGGUUUGCAAAACCUGCCAUUUAUUUAGCGAUUGAAUUGGUUCACUCUUCUUUAAAAUAAAACUAAGUGAUAUUAGCCUGCAAAUACUUGUUUUGUCCUUUCCAGUGGUGUACCGCUUCUUUCUCUCUCACACAAAGAUCAAAAAAGCAUGCUUUGUGCCUAAAGAUAAGAAACUAAUUGGACAGUCAAGUGACCAAAAGCAGAAUGGGUUCUUAAAGCCAUUAAGUCAAGACCAUUGACUUCCUAAAAAGGAGAAUUUAGCUCAGCCAAAGCUUGAUCCAGUGAAACUUGCCACCAGGAUAUCCAGCAGAUCAGUCUGAAGGAGGAAGUAUGAGAAUGACUCUUUCUGCCCUUGUAAUUUCUGGGAUUACAGAGAGAUAGAUUGAUGGCAGAGAGCAGAGUUUAUGUAGAACAGAAUAAAGGCUUCAAGGCCAAAGUGGAUUCCUUAACAGCAAUUAAAGCCUUGCUGCUUUUCAGGUCAGACUUCUCAGUUAAUCGUGCUGGGGUCAUUGUUAAUGCCAGCCAAGCAUAGCAGAACACAUAACACCAACUCUAAACCACCUUCGGCAAGAAUGGAUGGUGUGACUCAUCUGCCUUCUGUGUCGAUUAGGAAGUUGAUAUUCCUUCCCAGAACCACACAGCUCCUGCUCUGCUGUGCAGAAGUGCACCUCAGUCUCCAUACCUAACAAAUCGAAGGCUCUUCUUGUUUCACAGAGCAUCAGUCGACGUCCUGCCCUCGCUCUCUAAAUUUCUCCCAAGCCUUGCAAGCACCAGAAGUACGAGCGCCAGAUCCUCUCAUCUCCUUCCCUCCCUUGACCUCACCUCUGUGUCCCACACCUCUCCAGGCAGCCCAUGCACGCUCCUGAGGAAGAAUGUGGCCAAUAUACUGCCAAGUGCCGCUAAAUGGAAGGAGGCAGAGGAUAACAGAAAAUCAAAAAGACUGGAGGAAGAUUUCUUCCUGAUGCUGUAAUCUCAUGCUGCUGUUUAUCUCCACCUGUGACUUUGCUUAUUCCUUCGUCCCUCUAUAAAUCACUGCAGCUGGUGGUGCAUUCACCCAACCUUUCUGCCAGGAUGGUGUCAAAACUCUUCCCAUCAGACACCUGAACUGGUCAAUUCCUACUGCUAAACACCACUAUUUUGAAGAAGGAAAACUGAAGUGAAAGCAAAUUUCAAAGGUACUCAAGACUUGUGUGAUACGGCGCUGAGCUCUGUGCUCACACAAAGAGCUGUUGGUUUUAGGCAUGCUAAAUGAAACACAUUUUACAUCUGCAGCAGAGUAAGAAAAAGUCUCGUUUCUUUUGCCUGAACAAAAGGCAAAGCAUAUAGCAGCUGCUGUUCUUGUAGUAAAGAUUUCAAAACUGAAUGGCAGUGCUCUCUCACUCCUAUUCAUUUGACAUUCAGCUUUCAGAUUGUGAUGUUCACUGUCAUAUUUAUCACUUAACUAUGAUGGGCUGUUUGGGGUGACAGUUAUGGAUGGAAGCAGCCACAGUUCUCACCACCUUUCCAGAUCCAUUUUAAGUGGUUUCUGCUCCAUCAUCACUAAGAGCUGAUGCUGCUAUUCCCAUAGUUGGGAGAUUAGAAGCAAUGUAUGAAUUCAGGCCUUUCUCCUUCCUGUGGUUGCCCUAUGGUCAGGCAGAGGAGACUUUCCCACUCUUUCAACCACUGCUGGUGAAAUGAGCCCCACAGUACGUGAUCGAGAGAACUGACUUCGAGCUUUGAUAGUUAUAAAUAGUAGGCACUGUAAUUGUCUAGCAGUUCUCCUGCAAAGAAGAGGUAAUUGUGUGGAUGAAUAAAAUAUUGGCAUUAAAAAAACAUUUUAAGCUUAAUCUCAAAGUAGCUGAUGAAGUAUUUCUAUGGCAGACCUGUCAGCUCACGUGCUCUCAGUGGUAGCUUCUCAUGCUUGGUUGGCUCUUUUGUAAGAAGAGAAAAAGAAUUAAAAAGAAAAAAACAAAAAUGAAACACACCAGAAACACAUGCACAGUACAGAAUGCACACACAACGAAACAGCAAAAUAAUCCUGAAAAUCAAAUGUGUGCAAUUGGAGAAGGCCUUCUGUACUUCUCCAUGUUACCCCUCAUGGGGAAGUUCCCAGCCCUGCCACUCAGGCAGACCCAGUGGAGGAGCUUUUUUCUCUGGGUGCCCAUCCCCAGCCUCACUGUACCUGACAACUUCAUGGUUCAGCCUGUUUCUUCUCCAGGGGGCAGAGCCAUGCUGCCUUCCCCUUCUGCAGGGACGAAGCUUGGGCUUCCAUUACACUGUGCUCUUGGAGAGACCGUCAGCUCAAACUGAUCUACAGCCUACCUGUGGGAUAGCCUUCAGCUUCCAGGCAGAGCAAAGCAGCCAGAGCACACCUGGGAGGGGGAGGAUCCUGAAAACUGCUGCUUAUGGGGUGGCAUCAGAUUACGACCAGUUCCUAGGAUUUGGCUCAGAGAUACAGAGGAAAGCAGGGAGGUGGGCUGGCUCCUCCAUCCUGGACCAAAAGUUUGAUGCAGGGAUUGGGUCUCCUCCCACUGCAUCAAUGCAUAGGAUGAGGGGAGGAGGAAGGAAAAGUGACUGGCAUUUUGAGAUCACUGAUAACCUUCAUGAGGCAUUAGUUUUAUUUAAUACAGAGUGUCAUGUUGGGUCCAGUAUUUCAGGGACCGAUUUAAGAUUUAACAGCAAUUCACAACACUAACAUCAGCCAAAGCAUUUCUGUUUGCAUUUUAGUUCUCCAGCAGAAGGAUGACAGCACUGAAGAUUAAAGCUUUUUUUUUUACCCCUCCUUAAGAUCUCAGCAAAGUGCAGAUUUGAAACACAGAAAGAGGUUGACCUUCGUAUUAACCUGAAUCUCUUUUCCUGUUUCUUCUUGAAUAUAUUUUAUUCUCUUUAUGCACAGUGGGGCUCUUUUUUUCUUGUGUGAGGCUGUUGAAUGAAAUGCCAGAAAGAUGGAGUGUGCACUUUUACAUCAAAGAAAUGAUGAGACCAUAAAAACUCAUUUCCCUUGUGACUUCUUAAAUUGUUGCUAAGGAAUUGAAUGAGUCUGUUUGAAACAAUGUGUCCCUUUAAAUUCUGUUUUCUUAUUUGUCUUAAAACACAAAGCCACAGUUUCUUGUAGACCCUGAUUCAAAGGCCACUCACUGAAGUCAAUAAAGGUUUCUUAGUCACUGUGUUUAGAUGUAGGUCAGAUUUUUCAAGUAUUCCACUAUGUAGAACCCAGGCAGACUGAUUUCAAAAGUUCUGGCUAUUCACAGAAAGAAAGUAAAAGGUCUAGUUUGUUUUUGUUCAUUCAGGUGGUUAAAAACGUCCCCUUCAAAUGGGCCAGAAUUGAGUCAACUGUCAACUGCUGAGCAGAACAAAUCUGACAGGGGCAAGUAAAAUGAAGCAGUAGUUAAAUUCAGAAAUCCAAAGAAGUAAAAAUGUUGAUUUACUUUAGUUUUUCUCAUGCACAGUGGUGACGUGCAGUAGAAGCACAAACAAAGCCCACGGUUCAGACUGUUGGAGGGAAACCCUGCCUAUUUCUGUGUAACAGUUUUGGGCAAUCACUCUCGCUGCUGGGGUGAAUGGUUUGUUAGUACUAUAACCCAGUGAGUUGCUAGAAAUGGUCUUGAUUGGAGAGCAUUGUAAAGCAAUUAAGUUCUGACUAUUAACAAAGCUCCCACAGAGAGCAUUAAUUUUUGAAAGUAGACAAAGUCUGCGCUACGACUUUCUAGUGACUGUGUGGAAGUGUGACCAGAGUGAAAUAUGGAAACUGCUACAGUAAGUCUCAACUGUUGUAGAUAUUCCUUAUCAGUUUCCAGGAAAGGGUUUUAAAGUUCCAAUUUAGAAAAGCAUUUAAAUGUAUUCUGAAAUUUAUUUCAAUUUAAUUGGAUACAGGUUUAACAAAUUGCUAAGUUUUUGCAUAAUAAGUAGCAAUUUAAGUAUCUUCUUAUAGAGCUGGUUUGGAUUUCAUCUAAAUAUCCUUUUCUCGGAAUUGGAGCCUUAGUCAUCUGAACUGUAAUGGGAUUUUCUGGGUCUAAAAUCCAGAAAAUGCCACUUUGCUCUCAGACCCAAGUCAGUCAUCUUCAUCUAUGAGAUACCCAUAUUGUGUGCACAUGUUCCUUUCCAGAACUCCAGCCGCCUGAGCUCUUUAACUUACUGUUUGUUUCUCUCUGCAAAGGCGUAUGAUAUUUUAAGCAGGUAACUUAACAGUGGUUCAAAAUAGUGAUUUCUUGUGUUAGUCAGUGUAAGAAAAAUCAUAGAAUCAAUCAUAGAGAAAUGCCAUGCUGAAGAUGCUAAAACCCCAGAAUGGAGGUCUCCAUCUCUGAUCGUUCUCAGAGGUUGAAAUUGCAGUUCGUCAUCUUCCCAUCUUUUGUACCCAAUUUCUGGUUGCUCUGCUCUGUUUUAUGCCUUGAAAAGGACAUUUGCUUUAAUGGUCCCAUGCUGGGAUUUCAGAACGAUGGGGAAACAUUGCUACCAGUAAAAUAUGUGGAACUAUUUUCAAAACGUUGGCGUGAGCCAACAGGACCUAUCAAAGCCUUUGCAAAAGCAUAAAACCAACUUCUCAGAUUACAUUGUUUAUAAUUUCUCUUGGGUUAUUUCCCAAUAACACAGAAAACGUGUGACUGUUUUUGUAUCUGAAAGGAGUUUGGCCGAUGCUGAGGUGGGAGUACAGGAUCUUUACCAAACAAGGCUCCAUGUCGUGAUGGGCAGUCUUUAGGACUCUGAGUAACUGAAUGCUUGUAGCACUUCACUUUCUGAAGAUAGAUGAAGCGUCUUCUGAAUUACAUGUGGUUUUUUUAUGUUUUGUUGUCUUGUUUUUCUUCUUGUAGUGUAAUUCUGAACCACAUGAUCAAGCCAGGUGUUAUUCCAUGCUACUGCUUCUGAAAAUGCAGAUGCAGCAGAUGCAGGCAUACGGGUUCAGUGAAUCAGGAACAGAUAAGUGUCAACUUUCCUCUGUGGUUGUGGUUGCAAAGACCCUUGUGCUGAACGAUUAUUCUCUAGUGUUUAGAAAGGAACAGUUUGAUUAUAGCAGUACUUUGUUUAAAAAAAAUUCUUGAAAACUACACUGAAAGUGGAUAUUUUCUGCUAUUACUUAAAACUCAGUGUUGGUUGCAAAGCCAAAGAAAACAGGUCCCCAUGUUCAAUAGCCAUACCUAAUACACUGUUGUGUUAGAUACCACAAUCCUAAUUCCAUAAGAUGGUGUUCUUGGAAACAGCAGAAAAUCAGCAUGGAAUAGAAAAAAUUUCCUCCAUUGUAAAACCAGUCGUUUGCAUUUUUAACGUGCCACCUUUCUAGUUUUUCUUCUUCUAUUGGGAAGAAGUUCAUAACAAGUUCACUCAUUUUAAUCUAAGGAAAAUGAACAGACCUCCCAGAGUUGAAAACCCGCUGUACAAACAGCAAAAUUAUUCUGACUUCCAGGAGUAAUUUAAUUAGAAGGAUUCUUCAGAGUGGCUUUUUUUUUUUUUUUUUUUUCAUUAGAAAAUGUGGUGUUUUUCACGCCGUACAGCACAAAACCUUUCGCAUUUUUGUAAAGUGUAAUAAAAUAAUCACUGGGAAUUUCUGGAUCUUUCUCUAUAGGAGUUGCUACCCAUUUUUCUUUUUAAGCUAAUUUAAGGGACAGAGUAGCUCAAUAAUUUGUUUUUCUGCUUAAAAAGGUGACUUUGAAGAAGAGUGACAUGAUAAACCUUCCACAGUGAUUAUGGAAAAUAUUGUUUCUGCUAUUUAUGAAAUACACUGUGAUGCUCUUUUGAUUAAAAAUGAAGAUGAAAAUCUUUCAAAGCCUUUGAGACAAAAUUAUUUCAGCAAACAAAGAAUGAGAAGAGUAUCUGGUAGUGGUGUGGACUUCUGCAUGGUCUUGAAUAUGUGCUGCUCUAUGGAAGAACCAUUUCCAGAAGUGGCAUUUGUCCCCACAGACUUUUUAUGUCCAGGUGUUUCACUUAUCUGUAGUUCCACUUAUGUUUUCUUUUCUUUUCUUUCAACUAAUGUCCAGGACAAGUUAAAGUGAAUCCUACAUUCACUGGCUGACUAGGUGCUAAUUGCUAACAUCAGUUCUGAACCUGAGACAGAUAUUAGCUCCAUGUGCAAUUAGCACACUGAUGUACAGAGGAACUGAGAUCCCAAGAUGAAAACCAGAAGAAUGAGGUGCUGUACUGUCAUUUUGGAAGACAGUACCCCGGUUUCACUACUUGUAGUUACAGAACAUCAUUAGCUUUUGAAAAUGAACAGGAAAAUCUGCUAUUAGUGUUCCUUCCUGCUGUUAUGCAGCAUGAGGGGUUCUCAGUGUCUAUGCUUGUACUUUGUUGCUCUUGUUGAAACAUCCCUUUCUUGAAGAGAUCAUUUAGGACUGGGAAGACCAGAGACUCUGGGAAUGAUAUUCUAACAGAGUUAGAAAAUGCCAGAAUGUUACUGACCUCAAUGUGGAUUACAUUUCUGAAGUAGUUUGGGACAUUCUCUUGCCACCUGUAGUUGUAUAGUUUGUAUUUCAGAAUUAGGGAGGUUAACAGUAAAGGAGCGAUACAAUUCAUCUAAAGAGUGAUGUAGAGAAUUGUAAGGAAAUUACAACUUUUGUUGAGUUCUUUACCGACAUUUAUUGACUUCAUUUCUGCUUAACGCUACAGCUGACACCAAGCCCAGCCCUUUGUUUGCAGGACAGUAGAUUUAAGUGCUCACUAAAACAAGAAGUCUGUGGAAUAAUUAAAUAAUGAGUAUUUUUAACAAGUGUCCUUUGAAAACAUCUCAAGGUAAUGUUGAAAGAAAAUAAAACAAAAAAGCAAACAAUAGGAAGAACUGAAAAUCAUUUGCAUAGAAAUGAUCACAUUCCAUCAUGAUGUCCUAAUUUGUGCCUAUGUUUUAGGAUGUUUAUGGUGAUUCCAGGGCUGAUUACCAUAUUAAUGUCAUGAAAAUAAUAAAAAUGUACUGAUUUAGUGCAUUACUCCCUUAAACCAGUCAUAAGAAAAGAUUUACCUUAGUUAUUCUGUGGUAAAAGUUAUAUUACUCAUUUUCUUCAUCUUCAGUGCAUGUGGUAACACAGAAAUAUCACUUUGCAAAGUGCUUUAUAUCAAGGAAAUUCCAGACCACAACAAAGGAGUGCAUGUUAAAAUCAUGAGAAAUGUAGUUUGAGGUGAUUCAUGAAAGAAAUAAUCAGUGUUUAUGAAUGCUAAAAUGUGUUACUCAACUAUGCGCCAGUAAAUUAUGCCUAUGCGUAAAAAGGGAGCAGGCUUAACACUGUGACUAGGAAAGCUUUACUGUAGUCAGAUUUGCUACUAUUGGACUGAAAAAAAAAAAUAGUAAGGGAAAGAGAAGUUAAAUAAUAAACUUAAUUUUGCUUUGGAAUCAACUACUUCUCAGUAAGAUGGUGAAACUGAAAAUGGCUUUAGGAGCACAGAUGUGAGAGAUGAUAGGGACCAGUCAGAGGUCUAGAAAGCACGGGCUCUGAAGAAAGACUUUAUGAACUGGGAUUCUUUUAGAUUAAAAAAAGAGAAGGCAAGGGCUAGGUGACUUCACUUUCAGUUUUAUAUUUUUAUGGUAAUAAAAGGAAUUGAAAGAGAGUCACUGCACCCAAAGUCAAAAGCCUUUCAGACAAUGAAAAUUAUUCCUUUGUAAAAGUUGAACCAUCACCCAUCCUACAGACUUAUGUAAAGAAACAAGGAGACAUCAGUGUCCUUUCACUGCCAGAACGGGCAGGGAAGCAUCUCACAUGGGUUGGCAGGACUUUGUUUAUAUGCAGGAAAGGGGAGUGCUGACUCUCUUGGAAGAAUCUGCCAUUGUAUUAUUUUAUUUAUAAAUAUUUAGCUAAUAGAUCAGCUGUUUGGCAAUACUGGAUAUAUACCAUUGGAAAUGGUAUUAAGCAAGCAAAUAAAUAACUGGUUUUAAACUGUGGGUGGUAAACGCGUUUACAAAAACCUUCACAAGGAGCACCUGGCAACCUCAGCAGGUCCUGUCAGUGUAACUUGCUCGUGAAACACCCAAUCAAUCAUGCACAUGAGCUACAUGCCAUAUGGUCAUAUGCUUUUCACUAGGAUGAUAAAUGAUAUUCUAGGUUAUGAAAGCCAUCUUUAUAAAAUGGAAACAACUCCUGCAAACAAUCAAACUGAUGGAGGAAAAUGAAGUGAUACAAACUAACUGGAAAAUUCACUGAUCUCCAAAGAGUUCACAAUAAUUUACACAAGUUGUUCUUAUACUUUGUUUACAGUUGUACAGAGAGAGACCUUUUCUUCUCAGGGGCCAGAAGGGGUAUUGCAUACACGAUGUGAGAAUGGACAGGCAGAGAAGAGAGAAGAUGGAUGGAAGAGUGGAUGCAUUACAAAGGCUGUUCAAGGUUUGGAAAGUAAAGGAAAGUAAAGAGAAUCAUGUGAGUAGCCCAUACAGGAGAUCAGCAAGGAAACCAAGGAGUCCAGCUUCUUGGUGCCUUGUCUGCUGUUUCAUCUUGGUCAUAGUUCCUCAAAAAAAACCCCUGUUUAUCAUCAGUUUUUUCUUAACUGUGCUUAUCCAUGUAGAUUGCUACUCUGCCUCCGCACUUCCGUCUUGCCUAAUGUAACAGGGAGUUAGCUGUACAGCAGGCUUUAAAUAGAUGCUUUUUCAGACGGUGCUCACAUUUAGUUCAUUUUUUAAACAUAGCAGGAACACCGAACAUGUGAAAUUGUUAAUAUUCUCAGUUGAUUAGAUGGAAGAAACAUCCCAAAGGUUACUUGUUCUAUUUUUUGAGAAAUUACAGUGAUGCACUUUUUCUUCUGGACAAUUGCUAUAAAGACUUGCAUAAAUCUGGCACAUUUAUUCUUCUAUUUUUUUAAUUUUAUUCUUGAGAUUCUGCUUGGGAAGGAGUAGUUUUAAAAAUUCAUUAUUAUUUGAUUGCAAGUUGGAUGUCAGCCAGCUAAAUUUUUGAAUUUGAAAGAAAAUGCAGCAUCAGCUUCUCUGGAACUAUAAUGGAAUGAAACCCUCCAAGCACUCAUUAAAAGGGCAUCUGACGUCUAGCAAAAUUAGAUGAGGUGUAAAUCACUGAAAUACCAAAUGUGGAUUUGAAAUGGAAUAUUUAAUUCUGGAGAGCUGAAACCUAAGGCAAAGGGGAAAUUUAACUACACCAGCACAAUAUUUUGAUGAUGGAAGGAGUAGCACCAUUUCAAAGGUUUUAUGUUUAAUUUAAAAAAAAUGUUUUUUGAGGGAAUCUCCAUUGGUGUUUCAGUUGCUAUUUGGCAUACAGACAAGUGGUUGAGGAGCACAACAAAGGCACAAUAGUAACUUUACUCCAUGAACGUCUUCUAAGUGAUUUGCAAAUAUUAUUGGAAAAAUCUGAUUGUAGAGGCCUGAUAGCAAUAAGCAUUUCUUCCCUUAUCUUCCUCCUGAUUGUUUCACAUUAGGAAAGUUUGCUAUUGCUCGGUCACUUUAGGACACAUUCAGUUCCAAUGUAGAAACAGAAGAGAUCGAGGGCUAUGAAGCAACUUGCUUUCAAUUUUCCCCUUAUUCAAAAUGCAACUGAAAGACACCAUUUUUUUCAAUAACAUAACAUUGUUAGCAGUAGUAAAUAUUUCUACUCCUGCUGUUUCUUCUGACCAUUGUUGGGAUUGAGGCUUCAUUAUUCUGAUGCCAUGCAAGUUUCAAAGAAAGAAUGUCUGCCCUGAAGUGUUUGUACACUUGGAGUGCAAUCAGGAAUAAUGAAAGGGAUGUGGAUGCAUCACAUGAACAAAUAAAUACGGAGAACUGAUCCCACUUUGUUAUACACGAAGGUUUUUUCAUAAUUGUUAUAUUUAAGGAAUUCAAUACUGAUCCCUUUUCGCUCAUGAUUUGGGAUACUAUAUAGUUUAUCAUAUGUUUUUCCAGUAUUUUAUGUCAUCAGGUUGUGAUUCAGUAUGGUGUUGCCUUUAUGAAAGCAGGCAAGGAUUCAUUUCACUUGCAGCACAAAUGUAACUUCCCUAAGAUGAAAACCAAUUUAAAUGGAAAAACAUUUGUUUUCUUGCUGAUAUUACAUAUAGGAAUGGAAUACUUCUAUACAGCAAUAUACUUCAUUGUCAUGGGAUAGAUGAACAGAUUUGGAUUCCUCAAAGAGAGAUUUGUUUCAAGCCAGACAAGGUGGGACUCAGGAAUUGCAUUUUAAGAAGAAUCACUUUGAAGGCAAGAAAGAGGUCACGUGAGGAAACAAGCACUUGAGGAAAUCUUAUGCAGUUUAAAAUUGAUUGAGUUACAAAUAAAGACAUUCUUCAGAAAAGGAAUGAGCUUUGAAAGACUCAGGGUAUGCAGCACUGUGCUGAGAAUAAGGAAGAGAUAUGGUCCUGUUUCAUUGUUCUCUGGAGUGGGGAAGCGGAGCAGUGGGAGUGUGUUGGGAUCAAAGGAUGGCUGGUAAUUUAUUUUGUGUCCUUUUCUACAGUUACUUUGAUAUCCAGCAUAAGCUGAAAUGAAUAACGUUCAUUUCUUGAGGAAAAUAUGGUGCAUUUGAAAACCAGUGUUCAAAUGAGCAAUAAUCCAGUCUGGCUUCCUUUGUGUUAUCCAAAGCAGCAGCGUCUUCAGCUUGAGAUAAGGGUAGGGAGACUGCUUAAUUUCAAAGGUUUUCACUUUUAUCUUAGACUGGGAAAUCUGAAUACUUUAAUGGGUUUAGGUUUUAAUUUAAUUCCAGGUUGCUCAUCAUUUCACCUUUCAGCUGGGCUAUAGAGAUAAUUCAAUCAUAUUUCCCUUGACAAGCCAUCUGAAUUAUGCUUAUAUUUCUCUGUGGAUGUGAAAAUCUGCCACCACAAUUGAGUGCAUGACAGACUCUUCUGCCUUCCUUCCUUCUUUCUUCCUUAAUUUUGAGUUUGUUCUGCUCUUGCUCCAUAAUGCAGAUGUCCUCUGACACAGGCACAUGAAAGACAGACCUUGUACUUCUGCAUAGACACGAUGCCAAAAGUUUCAGAAGUAAGGCCAGAGAGCAGUCGUCAGGAAACAAAAAGAUCCAAUAUGAACAAACAGCAUAUUUUGGGUAGUCUGGGGAUUGUGUGGGCUCAACUUCUGCCCAGAGUUCACAUGCUUUUCCUCCUCCAUGACCGUUUUUUACAGAGACUUUACAUUUUGUUUCCCCAGACCUAUCCCCUUGCUAUCCAGCAGUACAUAAUCAGCUCUUAUGACUAAAAUAUGUGAAAACGGAGAAGGAUUCUCUGGUCUGAUUCUUGAACCCAAAAGGCUGAUCAGGAAAGACACAAGCAAGAGGUAACAGUUUCUUAAAUUCAGGUUUCUCUGUUAGACUUUACACAUUAAUUUUGUGUUUAAAAGGUCUUUUCUUGAAGGUACCCUAACCAAACUCAGCAUUUCACAUAUCUGUGUGAACGCAUACUAAAAUGAAUCACAUUUCCACAGUCAGAUAAGGUCCAUCUUUCUACCUUUUUUUCACUGCUCAUCUGUCUUUUAAAGUGGCUAAACAUGAUAAAUGCAUUCAAUUUCAUCCCCUCUGUGUUAUGUUAACCCCGAAGGUCACAACAUUGAGAACUACUCUGGAGUGAACCAGCGCUGAACUACACUGUGCUUUAAUGACUUUUAAGGUUUCCAGGUAAGAACAGCUAUCAUCAUCCCACAGAGACAUUUCUACCUUCUUUUCUAUUUAGAGCUAACUCUUCUAUUAGCAUGUUCCAGCUGAGUCAAAGAGGCAUCAAAGGCACUUAAGGCCCUUUUCCUUCAAGACCCAGGCUGUAAUACCUGAGAAGUUUAUCCUCUUUAAUUGCAGACCACACAAACCUGCUGAAAGCUCAGUCUGACACUCCCCUGUGCAUGACAGGCUGUCAUUCUCCUGGAAUAAUUUCCUGACAUUCUUCAGAGAGAUGUGGACAUUCAUUUUUUGCCCUCACAGGAAGCAUCCACAUUGCAUGCUAUUUAUAAAACUGUCAUUCAUUUUGUAACAGGCAGGUGUUCACACACAAACCUGGACAUGAAACAGCCUUUUUAUUCAAGGCAUUUUUGGCACUUUAUUGAAGAUAGGCCCUCCCAGAUGGAGAAUUAAAAUCAGGAUCUCAGUUCUUUUCUAUAGGCAGCUUCUAGAAUGGAUGUCUGUGUAGGUAAGAGGGUGUAAGUAAAAAAACAACAGACCCUAAAACAACUACAAAACUUAAAAUGUGUGCUAAUGUGCAUAUGUGUGCUCAUGUAUGUUUACACUGAGACAAAUCUCCAAAUGACAACUUAUUAGGAUUGAAUAUUUUGUUUAAUUUCUUUUAGUAUAGGAUAACUUCCAACUGCUCUUAGAUUACCAAAAAGACACUGUCUUUUUUGAAGGUCAACAUGGAAGAUAAAGAGAAGACAGGUCAAAUUCUGAAAAUCGUGGAAGAAAAGUAGUUAAGCUGACAAAAAUGAGAAAGGAUGUGAACACAUAAGGUCAGAAUGAAAACCUAAGUUAAAACUUAAUAACUUGUCUUGCGUCAUAGUAGCUCUUCGGUCAAUAAAUUAUCCAGACAAAGUUUAUUACAAAUUAUUCUUUUCAGUGCAAUUAGACAUUUGAAAUAUUUGAACAGAUGGGAAGAGUUUCAGCUCAAAUGAUGAUUCUUCUCACUUUGCUUUCCGGGAAAUGAUAAAACAUUCUUCCCAUAGCCUGGAAAAAAAGAGGGAUUGAGAGAACACACAGAAGCAUAAAAUACAGUGAACUGAAUUAUGCAGCCAUGUAAUAAAAAAAUGUUGUGAAACAAGAAUACUCUGCUUCCACAGUGUUUCAGUGGCAUUCUUUGAACCUUUCUAUUCUUAGACAUUCUUGUAGCCUGAAGAUAUUCGUCAUCGUGGCAUAACUAAAUGAUUUGUUUUUAUUGGUACAAUCAAUCCACAUUAUUACCUUUGACUACAUGGUUCUCUAUCUUGAUUCUGACAUACGGCUAAUAACUUUUAUGAUGAAAUCACAGAAGUGCUCCAUGGGAUGUAAUUGAAAAUUGUGCUCUGUAGUUUUGUUUUGAACUUCUUUUAAUGUUUAGUAUAGCCAUGUGCAACCUUGAUGGAAGUAAACUGUGAUACAUGGAAUUAAUUUUAACAGGAUAGAUGUAUGCCUCAUCUUGUAAUGAUGGUAAGCAGUUGCAGUUACCACAGCUGGAAGGGGCACCUCUGACACUGAAGCUCCACUGCCAUUCUCUGAUUUGAGCUUUUGAAAUCACACUUUUGGAAAACAUAGAGAAGUAAAGCAUUAAUACAAAUGAAUUUGGAGAGUAAAAAGAGUCAAAUCCAAGGAACAAGCCAUUGUGAUGUGGCGAAAUCCUUGUGGAAAACAGCGGUCUGCUGAUAUGUACCACUAUAGAAGUUAUUACUAUUUCCAGCACAGAUCUGUCCCAUUUGAACUGAAUGCAAAUAUUAUCAUGCCACUUGUGACUCAUUCUGUGCUUCAGCAUUUUUAAAUGUUAUUCUGCUUUUCUUGUGCUAUUUCGUUAUACUUACCAUCAUAUAUGUGCCCUUUUUUUCCUGCUUUUUAUGAUUUUCUUUUAGAUUUUCAGAUUGUUAAGCUGUUCUUGAUGCAAUCAUGUUAAUUUUUGAUGUACUUCUAAUCUUUCCUCCAUGUUAGGAUAAUUUGCUGUUGUGCCUUUAUCUUGUGUGUUUCUUUUUCCUUAUCUCUUCUCAGAUACUUGCGUUUCCCUGAGCCAUUUGAAGUCCAUUACCCUUAUUUUGUUAUUUGCAAUUUAAAGGAAGAGUGGAAGACUUAUCAUUUUUAUGAUCUCUUUCACUUGAAUUAACUUCCACUUUAAGAUUCUCAACCAUUUCCUUCAAAAGAAUUUGAAUUAAAUCUAAAAUAGCUACUUUCUGUGUAAUUUCCUCCACUUCAUGAAAGAAAAAACAGUCCCUGACACAUUCAGAGAAUUGAAUAGACAAUCUGUGUCCUGCUUUCUCAGCAGCUCCCGGUUAUACUACCAUCUCACCACUAGGUCCUGCCAUUUAGGUAUUUCUAGUUUCUGUCCCUUGGAUGUUUCCAAUAGUCGCUAUAUUGAAAAUCUUUGGCUUAAACCCAUCUUUAAGAGCAUUUAUUUCUUUUUCUCUCACAUAAUUUAACUGUUGUUCAGCAAAUCUUUCUGACACUUUUUUCCUUUUCAAGCCACAGCACGUGACUUCUCCUAUGCUUGUUCUUCUAGAUCGUGCUAUGCUAUUCUCUAACAGUGUUCAAGUAUUGCUGUUUUGCCACAUAGCUGUACCACUGUUUGGACCAUGCUGGUGUACCAAUACCAUAAUAUCUAGCUACUUAGAUCUCAUCCUGCAGUGUAUGUUGUCCUGUUUUUCAAACGCUUGAUGUACUACUUCAUGUUCUCCCUUUCUUCUUGAUAUGCUUGCCCACGUUCUGUGCAGCCAGACAUCACCUCUGGCAUGGUCUGUCACUGUUUCAAGCUGCAGAUAUGGAAUGUAUUACUUUAUAUCUUCAGGAAAAUUAAUGUCUUAAGCUAAUUAAAUAACUGCUGCUGUGCUUGUCAAAAUAUUAUAUUUAUACAUGAGAAUUAUUCCUUCAAAUUACUGAAAAUAAUUUCCUUGAAUUAAUGCAAUAUGCCAAUUAGAUUCCUGGCAUAUAUUGCAUGUUUCAACAUUAAUACUUAGGGAAAAAAAUUAAUCUGCUCCAUUCUUUUUUUGACAUCUGCACGGAAGACAAGGCAAGGGUCAAUGCAUGCACAGCCUCCCAUUUCUCCCAGUUUUAUGCAAAGGGCAAAAAAUGAGCGCUGUUUUAUUCCAGUUUUCCAUUAUGCCUAGUGCAAUCAUUGGCUCAUUAUUCCUUGUUGCAGCCUACCCGAUGCACUUGUGUUUGCAUUCUCUGGAAGUAUCACUUUCCAAAGUUUAAUAGCUCAACUGCUCAAGUAUUAGCUGAGCUGAGCAUGCAGAGAAGUGUAGAUAUUUUUACACUUCAUUACAUAAAAGAGAACCAGGAAGAAAAUUCAGCAGGCUCCAAAUGCAGGAACGAAAAAUGCAAUUUUUUGGCAAAAACAAAACAAAAAGUUAAAAAUAGAAAAAAUAAGCAUUCCAGAGGUUACUACGGCAGCCAUUUUAGUUUAACCCUUUUUUGUUUUUAAGAGAAAGUAAUAAUCCAACAUGAGAUCAUAUUGAAAUGGAAUCAUUAAGAUGAGGCACUAUCAUUCCAAAGGAGCUGAAACGUGAUAUGAAUACAAGAUGAAAAGUUUUAAAAUCAGAAUCCUUACUGUACUGCUGAUUUAACAGUUACCCAAAAUUUUCCCAGCUUUUUUCAAAUGGAUGAAAUUUUCCAGCCUGGAAGUAUGGGCUGAGAUGUCGUGCUUUAGCAGCCUUGGAGGUAAUUAGUGUAGUACAUACAAAACCCUUGGGCAAAAUAUAAUGUGAUGAGGAAAAACUAGAAGGCCAUUAAUAAUAGUAAACACAGUCUUCCUAAGCCUGGCAAAUAAAAAAUAGCGGAUAAGAGAAAACUGGAGCAAACAGUUCAUUUUUCUUUUCAAACUCUUUCAGUAAGGCUCUUUCUGACAUCAUUCAGUGAACAAGCCUGAUCCGGAAAAACACAGAAAACUGUGCUAAAAUCUGAAGGAGGAGUGUAAAUCCCAGUGAAGGCAUUUGAAUUUCAUUACCAUAGAAUAUAUUUUUUCAGCAUUUUGCUGAAACAUAUGAAUAAAAGGAACAAAUACAUAAAUAAGGGCAGCAGUAUCAUCAAUCCUAAAGAUCACUUCCUGAUUUAGGAAAGAAUGAGAGAAAAUAACUAAAAGGAAAUGUUUUCUCAGCUAGAAAAAUUCUAACAGCUAUGUCCCUUUGGGAUCGUUAGGAGUAUUGGAUAAAUUCAGUACACCUACUAAUGAUGUGUAAGAAAGGUUGGAUUGUGAAAUGCAGCUUUGCUGACAAGGAGAAACGCUUGAGAGUAGUCAAGAUUAAGCAGGAUUGUGGGAAAAUCCAGAAAGAAUAGCAGUGAAAAUGAAGUGCAGCAGCAGAGAUAUAGAAAAAUACUCAGCCUUCUUUCACUUGCAAUGGAAAAUGUGUUUUCCUGAUAAUUUGUAAUAUAUUACAGGAUGUAUCAAAGUUUCAGUGUGGCAUGAAAUUACAUCUCUUUCAGAGGAAAGUGUAAGCCAGACAUCUAAAACCUUUUCUAAAAAAAAAUCAAAGGACUGUAGUAAGAGUCAAGAUCAAUGUCAACGGAGGAGAAUCAUAUUAAACUGUAAUGAAAUGCCAAUUUCUUAACCUUUUAAUCUUCCUACUCUCUAAACCUUUACAUUAUCACUUUUCAGAACUGGUCUUUUAACACUGCGUAAGUACGCAUGGCAUUGUGACAGUGGAUAGAGACUGGAACACCAUAAUAAUGUUGCCUUGUGUGAUCCAGCAAAAAAAUGUUGCCUAUGAACCAUAACUUCCAAAACAGUUUCACUGAGCCGAUGGAUGGACGGAUGUUCACAUAAGAGAUACUUGAGGAAAUAUUCAGGAUAGAAGUAUCCUCACAGCUUCUUGGCUGGAAAAAAAUAAGAUGUUCAAACCUCAUUUCUGUGAGACUUAGUCCUAAAAACAUGAAAGCCUGAGAGAUGCUUAUCAAUCACAAAGAGUGUAGCUUGAAUUUGACACUAAAAUAUAACCAAGUAACCAAGUUGCCAUCUGCUC
This is a long non-coding RNA of Gallus gallus (chicken), 20550 nucleotides long. RefSeq lists it as uncharacterized. NCBI's taxonomy places the organism in Eukaryota, Metazoa, Chordata, Aves, Galliformes, Phasianidae. The transcript has 4 exons. The record is from RefSeq and is a predicted model, not a curated record.